Molecule: ribosomal RNA, 253 nt
Filed under: uncultured bacterium
Lineage: Bacteria
Description: partial 16S ribosomal RNA
Rfam family: Bacterial small subunit ribosomal RNA
Source: RNAcentral
UACGUAGGGACCAAGCGUUGUUCGGAUUUACUGGGCGUAAAGGGCGCGUAGGCGGCAAUUCAAGUCAGUUGUGAAAUCUCCGAGCUUAACUCGGAACGGUCAACUGAUACUGUUUUGCUAGAGUACAGAAGGGGCAAUCGGAAUUCUUGGUGUAGCGGUGAAGUGCGUAGAUAUCAAGAGGAACACCUGAGGUGAAGACGGGUUGCUGGGCUGAUACUGACGCUGAGGCGCGAAAGCUAGGGUAGCAAACGGG